Branchiostoma floridae (Florida lancelet) is the source of this 801-nucleotide long non-coding RNA. RefSeq lists it as uncharacterized. The transcript has 4 exons. The record is from RefSeq and is a predicted model, not a curated record. Lineage: Eukaryota; Metazoa; Chordata; Leptocardii; Amphioxiformes; Branchiostomatidae.
CAGGUGGUCAUUUCCCAAACACUUUCUGACUUAGUGCUUCUGGCAUUUCUAUCCUAUAAAAUUGAAGUAUCCACAUUCAACAUAUUCACAAAAGGCACAAAUCCAUACAAGGAAUGAGUGCCUACGUGUUGCUCAUUGCGGCGGCCUGUACCCUCUGGUGCGGGGCAGAAGGAUAUGCCGGUCUUGACCCUUUGUACAGCCAGACAACUUGGUACGGUAUCGGCACUCAGCGUCCGCGUCCCGUCACUUGGCAGUAUUGUAUGUGGGAGGGGCACAGGAUGAGGGUCGGCAGCAGCUGGCAGGUCGGCUGUGUAGAAUACAGCUGUAGGAAUGAUGGCUUUUACUAUGUCAGCCUUACUGGCAGAUCUCUUCAGAAGACCACUCCACGAUAUUGCAUAAACUUUGUGGAUGAAAACUGCAAUCGUCAUUCUGUGCAGUCGAGCAAUCCAUGGGCUACCUGCGACGGUGGUAGUACGACGACGGUCGUCCCUGGGUAGCAAACCACUUAACUUUGACAUCAGGCAACCUGCAACCUGAUCAGUCAGGACAACCAGCAACUGUUGCUAGUCCAGUUGGUUAUCAACAAAAUAAAACAUAACCACGUGGAAGGUUUUGUUUGCACUUAUAACUGUCAUUCAGAAAAAAACAAUAGCAAAUGUGCUUAAAAACUUGUUCCCAAGUGAAUGAGCAUCCUCACCUCUAGUUGUCACCUCCUAGCCCAUCAGGACAAUUCAGCACCGUGACUAGGACUGUUACUAUGCGUUUGACUAUAAAGAGGACGCCUAACUCUAACCCUAAUCC